This is a non-coding RNA of Camelina sativa (false flax), 1035 nucleotides long. The record is from RefSeq and is a predicted model, not a curated record. Lineage: Eukaryota; Viridiplantae; Streptophyta; Magnoliopsida; Brassicales; Brassicaceae.
UGGUUGCUCAAAUUAACAAAAGAAAGAAAAAAAACUUCGUCGACCCUUUUUUCCUCUCUCUCUCUUUUCUUUCGAACCGUUCUCAUCGGCAUGACCAACAAUGGCCUGCUCUCUCAGUCACUCUGAAUCCUCAGUCUACCAAUCUCCGUUAAUUUUCCCUCUCGAUCUAUGUGUUGUUCUUCGGUCGUUGUCUCGUUCCCUCUUCUUAAUUUUCGUCAUCUUCAUCGGUGUAAAAUCAAAUUAUUGUGGUCGAAUUUGAGUUAUAAGGAAGAGCUGGGUGAACCUUACUUAAAGUAUUCAAGUUUCAAGUUUUGGGUUUCGCUUUAAAGGUUUUUUUUGGUUAUGGGUCUAUGAGCAACCUGAAGCUUACGAUCACUAAGUCACCUCUAUUGUGGAUGUUAGAUGGACGUUUUGAUGAUGAUUACUUUUAAUAAUCACAUGAAUUCAGCCAAAUCAGACAGGAGUAUGAGAAACAAUGUCUGGACAUGAUAUCUGAAGUACCUGAGCUGAUGGUCCAUGUCACAACCUGCAGGAGCGGGAUAGGCAAGUCUCUGAUGGUUGAAAUUGACACAAAGGUAAGUAUACUGAAAUUCUCUUUUUGAUCGUUGAUUAUGUAGAGAACUGUAGAAUCUCCAUCUUCAGCUUCAGUUUCCUGCGAGCCCAAAACCUGUGAAAGAAUCUGGAAAUGUCCACGAUGAUAAGUUAGUAGAGAUGUAGAGAUGGUAAACACAACAAUUGUGGAUAGAAGCCUUCUGUGAAAUGGAAUGAUGUUGCUGGACUUGAUGGAGCUAAACAAGCUUUACUGCAGAUGGUGAUACUACCGAGAGUACUCUUCAUACAAAUGACUUAUAGCUGGACUUGAUGGAGCUAAACAAGCUUUAUUUUGUAGGAUGCCAUCUCUCAUACAAAUGUCAAAACCUUGCAACUGUAAAACUCAAGAGUACUCUUCAUAAUUCAUUUUUUUUUAGGGUCUGAUUUUAGCCAAUGCCCUGUUUUUUUUCAUCAUCUUUGUUAAUCUUAUACCUUCCUCUUGAU